Long non-coding RNA from Acanthochromis polyacanthus (spiny chromis), 748 nucleotides. RefSeq lists it as uncharacterized. NCBI's taxonomy places the organism in Eukaryota, Metazoa, Chordata, Actinopteri, Pomacentridae. The record is from RefSeq and is a predicted model, not a curated record. The transcript has 2 exons.
ACAGCAGGAGGGAGGAGGCGAACAGCGCCGCGACGCACAGAACCGUCUGGAGACGCAUCGUGAAGAAGAGAGGAGUUCUGGUCCAGAAGUUCUAAACGAGCUCCUGACUGAGGAGUUAACGUCUGAACGUUCUCCAGCUGUAACUGAACACUGAUGCUGCUGCACUUUGUCUUUGACCUGCUGUCAGCUGAUGCUGCUGUUCAACCAUCGAUUUUUCCAGUAACAGAGACAAAGUUCAAUACAGUGACGGAAGAGUUCAGCUGGUCUGAAGCCUCACAUCAAACAAAGAGCUAAAAGUCAGGGAUGUUUUACAGGAACGUAUGUUUAAGAAACAUCCACAAUAACACUUUAAUACCAACCAUUUUAUUGCUGUGCAUGAUUUGUUGUAGGUUUUGAUUCAUAUGUGACCGUGCAGAAUAAAAGUGUCGUGGAUGUUGCUCUUAUUAACACCAAUAUUCUACAUUUCAAAUGAAAGGAAUCCUCCUGGUGCUUCCUUUAAAGAUGAAAUAUGAUCUGAAUAUUUAUAUAUUAAGCAUCAAUUAAAAAUAUUUUAUUAACUACACCAAAAAAUCUAGCAUUUAAAUUUUCUUUGCUCCACGAUUUCACUAUUAAAUUCACAGUUUAAUUUAAAAAUGAAUAAAACAAAUCUCUACUUAAAACCUGUAGAUCUGAGUUAAUUACUCUCCUUUUCUUGUGAAGCUCAUGGUUCCAUUUCACCACCUAAUUAUUAAAAUUGUGUUAAAAACAA